UACGGAGGGUCCAAGCGUUAUCCGGAAUCAUUGGGUUUAAAGGGUCCGUAGGCGGUUUAAUAAGUCAGUGGUGAAAGCCCAUCGCUCAACGAUGGAACGGCCAUUGAUACUGUUAAACUUGAAUUAUUAGGAAGUAACUAGAAUAUGUAGUGUAGCGGUGAAAUGCUUAGAGAUUACAUGGAAUACCAAUUGCGAAGGCAGGUUACUAGUAAUAUAUUGACGCUGAUGGACGAAAGCGCGGGGAGCGAACAGG
RNAcentral lists this ribosomal RNA (253 nucleotides) under uncultured bacterium. Its description in RNAcentral is "partial 16S ribosomal RNA". It matches the Rfam family "Bacterial small subunit ribosomal RNA", at positions 524 to 776 of the family's 1533-position model. The record is from RNAcentral.